GGCGGCGGGGUGACUCCAUAUCAGCCCCGUAUCAGCCCACAGCCCCUCGAGGCCGCCGUUCUGCCGUACCCCGUGGCGUUGCUUAGCGCUCAUCGCCUCCCGAGGCGUGUAGGGCGGUGCUCUCCUGAUUUUGGAGGGCAUUGGUGGGGUCCUAAAGGCGUUCAGAGCCACGGACCGCCCCGCUGGCUGUGAGGGGACACCGCGAGGCCGGGCUGGUUGUGUGGUGAAUUCCCAUAGAGCCGCUCUGCAGUUUCACUUGGUGUGAAAAAAAAAAAAAGAUUAAAAAAAAACAAACGGGCUGCCCUUAACUGUGACCUUUUCCCUACGCGCAGGCAGAGAUUAACACUGCUGUGUCCCUUUGAUCCGUGCUCAGGCACUCCGAAUUUACUAUAAAUCACAUCGUUGUGGAGUCUUUCCAGCCAAUUAAUGCUGAAGAUUGAGCUCUCCGUCCUUUGGAGGUUUCUGUUUGUUUUUCCCCACAAUUGUGUCUGUGCUGUUCCUGCUCUCCCAGCCUUGGAGCGCUGACUCCAGAGCCAUUUCUUAGCAUUAUCUGUUCAGGAGAUUGUGCUGCUUCCUUUCUGGCUGAUGUUUUCCCCUGAUCCAGCUGAUGUGCUCCCACAGCCGUUCUCUAGAAGGUACGAAGCCACUGUACUUCUUAAGAUAAAAUUGGCAGCGUCCUGGUUUGAAUCAUUUCAUUCUUCCAGGCAACAUUUCUGUCUUGUUAGGCAAGAGCUGUUUUGGGCUUCUUUUUUUUUUUUUUUCUUUUUUAAAGACUAAUGAAGAUUAGCAUUUAGUUUCUAGGAAGGUUGGAAAGACAGAGGUGGAAUCACAUUUUCAUUACAGGUGUGUCCUUGUGCCUGUGAAUAGAUAUUUUGCCUUUCCUACUGGCACCUGUGACCUGUGCCAUCCAUCCUGAGGCACUGGGGCAGCGUCGAGGAUAUUGUCUUUUAUCCUGGGUCGCUGCUAGGAGCCACUAAAGAAUCUCCAGCAGAAGUCCUAUGAGAUCAGUGACAAAACUCUCUUAUUUGGAGUGGUGGGGGGGGGGGUAAUGAAAUUUGACAACUAUGUUUCUUCAGUGCUAACAGCCUGUGUCAUGAAUAUUUCUCAACCUGGUAAGUGUGGCCAAGCUUGUACUCACUGAUUCCCAAGCUGCUUGUUUCUUUCCAGCCAUUCAUUUUUAGAGCUCCAGUAGCUGUCCUGUAUCUUGUGACCAACAGCAAGGCUGUUCUAGUCUGGGUUCUACUGGUAAACCGAACCGCUGCUGUUAGAAGAAGUGAACCAGAAGAUGCUGCCAAGGCACGUUGCUGGAUUGCUCUGGAAUCAGCUGCAUGCCAGGCUCCAUUAUGCAGUUAAAACCUCUGGACUACUGGAAAGACUUGGCUCACAGUCUCUUUGUGUCCACAGCUGUAUUAUGAGAUGUCCUUCCCUUCAGCUCUCCACAGUUAUCUGACUGUCAGGUGUGCAGCUCUUGAAGUCAGCAGCACUGCCUGCCUUGAGGCUGGUGAUCAUCUCCCUGAGGUGGUGGGAUUCAAGUUGUUAAGCAAAGGCCGUAAUGCUGCUUUAACAAAUCGUGCCUUGGGAUUAGUAACUUCACUUGGGAGUCAAGUUGAGUGAUUGCAUGAUGUUGGCCUCUUAAUUGGCUUCCUUUUAAAUCUCUUACACAGGCACAUUCCUUCAGACAUGCCAUCUUCCCUCCUAUUUGUGUAUCUAUGAUUUUUCAUUGACUGUCUUUUAAUGAAAGAGCAUCUUUUACAUGGAAAACUUCAGGGAGGUCGCCUCCUCCAAAGUGCAGGGGAAAAAUACUACUACUAAUAAUAAAAAAGUAAGGAAUUUUAGAAUACUUGCCAUACCAGGAAAACAUGAAAGGCAGCCUGAGACAUGGAGACUCUGUGCAAGGCCUGGAAGGUCAUUUGGAAUUUUUAGUUUUGUUGCCAGUAAGUGAAAGAGUGUGCGUGGGGGUAGGGAAGGAAAGACCUAUUAACUCUUAGCAGUAGAGUCAGUCAUAAAACAGCAAGAACUCUGCACUGACUUUAAAUGUGGAAGCAGUAGGUACGUCGUGUUUUCCUUACCAGCAUGAGAAGAAGGUGGGACUGGAGCAUCUGGGCUUAUUCUAUCCCAGUUUCCUCAACCCACAGAUCAUCACUGAUAAAAGAAUCCCACAGACAAAACUCACGCAGCUCCAAUGGGAUUUAUACAAGCAGAAACGCUUUAUGAAUUCUGUACAUGCUUUCUUUUUGCUAUUAUCUUUGAAGCCAUUUGGAACAUUGAGUUCUUUCUGUGCAUGUGAUAUUAGAUCCAUAUUAGAUCCCCUAUAGGGCAGAAUGAAGGAUAGUUUUGUGUUGUCUGUGGCAGGCAUUACUUUUCUGCUGGGAGCUGGCCAAUUUGAUUAAUAUCGAGAAAGAUUCUUUCAAAGAAAGAUAAUCAACCCAAGCCUAAGCGUGUAUCAGCCUCUUGAUGUGAGAGCCAUAAUGGCUAGUGCUGCCAUCAGAGCCACAUUUAUAAAUCAGUACAAGGGACUUGCUAUGAAGGAACAAAACUGAGCGGUAUUAGUGCUUAUUACUGAUACAGCUGAUGCAGCUGAGCAGCAAGAGAGUGUGAAACUCUAUCACUGAAAACAGAUGCAUCUUUCUUUGAUUUCAGCCCUUCUGCAUGGUGGGCAAAAUUAUACCCCUCAGAUUCCCUUUGGUCUUCCUUUAGCCAAGCUCUGUGCAUUUGGUUUAUUUGCUUUAUUCAUACAUAAAACACCAUUUUCCACUCGUCUUGAACUCGACUACAUGCAAACUUAUAUUACCUCACUUCUUUUUUUCCCCUCUUCUUCAAAAUUGUUCCCAAAGAGAAACUGUAAUUCAGGUAGCUAUAGAGCUAUAGAGCUAUAGAGAAGACUGGGCUCAGAUAAGAUCUUAUCCCUAACAUUUUUUUUUUUCUGAAAGGUGACAUUAAGAUAAUUUGAUCUCAAUUUUUUUAAUCUCUAUUCCAGGACUUUGACCAAGAAUGCCUAUCCUUCUAAAAUUUGCAGAGGCAGCUGUCUGCCUUGGAGACUGUCUAGCACCUUUUAGAAGCCUGUACUUUGGCUUUCACAGCACAGCAAGACUACACCACUCUGCAGAAUGAUGACCCCUAAAAGAAGUUGCAUUCUGGCUUCUCUUGGCCCAUUUUCAAACACAAUUUCGUUUUCAGUGCCCGUGGAUCGGGAAGCCCAGAGGACAGCUCUUGAAGCUUCCUAAGGGUUUUUGUAUUCCCCACCACUACUUCAUUCAUCCAAAUCCCUUGCUGUUUCCUGGCUCAAUAGUUGGAAGCACAGAGAACAGCAGUGUGCCAUCCAGGGUUAGAAUAGUUAAUGUGGACUUCCAAGGAAAUUGGGGUUAGGGUAGUUUGAAAUAGUUUGUUUUCCAACUGCCCAGACCAAAUGUGGGCACCAAGAGAUGAAGUUCAUGAAUAUUUGUGAAAUACUUAAGCUUUUCAAGAGUGAGUUGUGAUGGGAGUGCAGAGUAAGAUUAUUUUCUGAGGAAAAACUAAUCUCUUUGAGGACCAUCUGUGCUGUGACAGCGGAAGUCAGUCAAUUAACUAUGGAAAGGUUUUAGGGCACCUGAAUAGAAGAGAAAGGUAAAAUCAUAUUAGACUGUUUAUUUGAUAUCUUCCUUUGGUAUUACUGGCCUUAGAUUGAAAGGGCUAUUUGUUGUCUUCAUAUGUUUUUAACAGUGUUUAACAGAGCAGGACCUGUUGUACUUGGCACUUUAGAGAAACGUUAAAUUUAACACGGAGAAAACUGCUUGAAACAAACAUUUCAAGAUUACGGUUCUAAUAAGGCAGUAGAAUUCUAGUCGAUUUACAGUCUUAACAUGUCCUUCCUGAUGUGCAACAUUGCUCCUUUCACUUCAGGUAGGAUCCUGGUCAAGAACAAAAGCCUGUCACAGCUCCAAGCCUUUACAUUUAUUCUCUUGGGUAAUUCAGCUAGCAGUGACAAAACCUGAAGAGAAGAGAAAACACUUUCUGGCAUGUGAAAGCAAAGUAUUUUUACCUUUUUUUUCUUGAAUUCAUUCUCUGUCUUUGAGAUGCUGAUAGCAGCAGUCCACUUGAUUCCUGAUGGUACCACAGCUCCUAGGGGAAAAUACAGGUACAGACUUCUCAUCUUCCCUUCUCUCCCCAGGCCAUGAAAACAGGAAGAGUUUUCUGCAUUCACAAAAACAACGGGUCUGAGGAGUCUUUUGCUUAUUAUGCCAGGGGAAAAAAGAAAUCCUGUCAUCAGUACGGCCAGAAUAAUAAUAUUAAUAAAAUAUUAAUUAAAACAAUAGUUACAUAUGUCAGAUAGUCUGUGAGGGAUUGCUUACAGAAAUCUCUGCUUUUUAGCUUUUAGUUAGCAUCCUGACUUUUAGUUUUCUCACUUUUCCAGCCCUGGUUAAAAGCUCCUGUACGUAUGAUGGGUUAAUUCAGCUCUUCACACAAAUACAUGUUACACACACUGCUGCCAAGUGCCCUCUCCUCAGAAUGUCCAGUACAGAAUUAGGAUAAUAUUUGCCCACAUCAUAAUUCUUUACCAAUUUUCAGGUAGCUGUUUCCUCAAGAGGUCAGUGCUCUGCCUAUACCCACUGACCUGAGCGAUCCUACUUGUCACCAUUCCAGUGACUUCUUUUGUUUGUUGCCUUAAGCAUUCUUUCUUGCCUGCAUUGCAAAGUUUCAGUAGCCACGGAAAUCAUAUCCCUUCUGAAGGGUUGCACCCUCCUGCACAUUUCAUAGCAUAGCAACGUAACUCUAUUGCCAUGGAUCCCAGACAUGGGCGUGCAGAAUUUAUCCAACUAAUCAAGUGGUGUAGGGACACCAAUUCCAGCUACAGUCGGCUUGGAGCAUGGAGUGGUUACAGCUAAAAAUAUUCUACAAGCACUUUGCAGGGAGGCAAAACAAUGAGGUCUGUUUUAUUUAUUUUGAAUGGCCAAUGUAAUCGGCACUGUCAUAGUAAACUAGAAGGCAGAAUUAAACAUUCAUCUCUAAUAUGUUUCCCACUGAAGUACCACACCUGUAUUCAGUAUUUGAGAGCUAGGAGUUCUUUCUUUACAGUAGUGCCGUGCGGUACAAGUUUAUUAUCCAGCCUUUACUCAAAAUGUGAUUGUUAUGCAUUGCCAUCUUUUGCCCCAAAGCAAAAUGCGCUGCAAAAGAAAGAUGUAUUUGGUUGCUCUCACUGAAACAGCUGGUGUGACUGGUGUCAAAUGGAAUAAAUGCCUGUUGGUCUGACUUUUGCCACUUAGUGAUUAAUGAAAACUUAUCAAAUCUCAUCAAGUAAUUGGAGCUCUCUACAAAGGCCAUCUAUAAAGCAAAGACACGGGUAUUCUAGAAUAAAACAAACCUGAUAAAAAGUAAAGCAUCUUUUCAUGUGAGGAAAAAAAUGUUUUUGUCUGUAUUCCCUGAUUUAAAGCACUUUUGGUUAGAUGCUUGGGACUGUUUGUUGAGCAUGAUAUUCAAAAGAUACAAUUAAAACAAAAGGAGAUUGGUUUGUCUCUGCUUUUAGAUGCAUGUUGAAGCCCUGAUAUAAAACUUACUUGUUAUAAAGGUCCAAAGUCUUGCACAGUUAAUUCAAAUAGAUUCUACAGUGAGCAAAUCUGCUUGGCAGCAACGUGCAGAAAGUGACUUCUUGUAGAAAAAUCCCAAAUGCGAAGGAAAGACACUUAAAACAUUGCUUUGAAAAGUAUAAAAGGAUAAAUCUUACCAAGAUGAAAACACAAAAGCAUUUCUCACAAGGAAAAUUUUAGAAGAGAGUUGACACCGGCUUGUAAUGAACCUUGAAUUGUAAGUGUAACCUUUCUUCAUAAUAACAGUCUUCAUCCAGCAGCACUGUUUGGUCAGUAAUGGGUUCUUUUGUUGUUGCAGAUGGCUUUGAAUUUCAUGAUGUUGCAAUCGGAAAGCCUUGAACGCUUCAGGAUCAGUUCUAAUAUUUUCCUGUUGAUACUCAAUGUGGCUCUCCACGGCUGGCUGAGAGAAAAGAGCCCAAACUGCUCAUUUGCCCUGACAAGUCUUCACUCCCUGUGUUUCUGAUGAUUGGCUGUGCUCCGUGCUUGACUUCAGCAGCAGCUAAUAAGUAACUCCUGAUCCAGCAAAACUUCCAAAGGUUGACAGAUAUCACUUGAGUUUCCAUUUCAGAGAACAUGGAAGUAUUCAUGACAAAAUGUGGAGACUUUGGCAUCAUGAAAACAACACUCAGACUCCUGAGCAGCUGCCUGGGACCCCCACUGCACAUGCAAAAAAGCUCAGUAGAUGUCUUUCUGACACCUGCUCUUAAUGGCAUAAGGGUCAUUGUAGCCAGACUGUUGUGUUAGGGUCCAAAACUAGGGGGAAAAAAAUCAUCAGCUACAUUUACACUGAUGCAGCAGAACUGCCAGGUCACAGCCUGGACCAAUGGUUGAGCACCAGGUGAGAAGCUGUGGCUACUGCAGGGAGAUCAGGUGCAAGCAAUGCACCUGCGUGAUGGAAAGGUGUGGACUCUGAGUUUGCUCCUCCUCUCCCUCAUUUAAGGGUUGACAGCCAAGGGAACAGCAUAUCUCCAGAGAGUGACUGUGUUCUUUCCAAGUUAUCACUGGUUGUCAGAGAGGUGAGCCAAUUUUUCUUCUUUGUUAUCUGCUGUUGCUCUGUAGUGUUUGUAUCCCAUUAGAAGGUGCUGUCAUUGCCUUCUUUUGCUGUACAGCUGGUAAACUAAAGAGGCCAAUGCUCAGGCACUGCUGUGUAGAGCACUCACAACUGAAUUGUGAGCAUGUAGCCUGGCAGUUUUGGUGCUACGACUUUCAGGACUCUCUUAAAUGCUAUCUGGACACGGCUUGGAAGAAAACAUGGAAUAUGGACAGUUCCCCAUGGACAGUGCGGUAUAAUUGUGUUUUAUUGGAGGAAGAUGAAAACUUAGUUCUGUGAUAUCAGCGUGCUAUGCUGUUUGGCCUUGAAACUGAAAGGGCAAGGUCUGAAAAACAAAGAGAAAGGGUCUGUGUUGUGAACCAAUAGAUGUGGACAUGUCCUGGAGCAAAACUUGUUGCUGCAUAUAUAGCCUCAGGCUCUUUGGCGUUGGGGAAAGUUUUUAUUUUCAUUGUAUGUUUUCAACAUGUUUAAGCGUAUACAUGAAUACAUGCAUAGUCACGUGGCUUUUCAAAUUGGGAAACCCUUUUCCAAUACUCACUCAUUACAGCUUGAGCGUAUUUACAUGCUCAUUAUUACUGUCCUUUAUCCAAGUUCUUCUCAUUCAAGCACUUUAUGGCCAUUUCUUACAGUGUUUCUUGCUAUGGUUCAGUAAAAAAGUAACUAUCGUCUUGUUCCCUCCUAUUACUGGGAACUUAUCUAACACAGCAGAUGAGCUCUUUUAACCUCAGAGCACCACCUGGCUUCGUAUGGAUCCUUUUGAGCACCUUCCUCGUUGACACUGAUACCUGAUUUAGAGCCUGUGUGUGAAAAUUCCCUCAUGCUGAUAUCAAGCGUACAAUUCAAAGGCUAUUCUGGUGCCAUUUAGCCUCAACAUCAGGCUUCUAAUCUAAACUUGUGAGACCAUAAAAGAUUUUUUUCAGUCAGUCUCAGGGCUUUUUUUCCCCCCAUUUGGACUUUCCUCAUUUGCUCUCAGAGGUACAAGAUAGACAUUCACCAGUUCCUCAGUCUUUACAGAGGUAAUAGUCAGAUGGUGUUUUUACACAAGGAGGUCAUCAAGUUACAGAUGAGAACUGAAUAAUUGGUUUUCCCUUUCAAACAUGUGUGGCCUCGUGUCUCUAGAGCAUUUGCUGUCUUAAAAAUAACAAGUAUUUUUUCCUGUUUUCAUAGAUUUUCUCGCCUGCAUACCCAUUCUUCUCCUCAAAAUCAUAUCCUCAGCUAAACCUUACUUCGAUAUGGAUGUAAGUUCAAAAUCAAAGUGUACUCUGUAGAUUCUGACUAUAAACUUAUGAACUUACUCCAAGAUAUUCAAGGCAAUCAGAUACUUGGACUGAAAUAUAUCUAGAAUAAAAAUUAUGUUGAUUAGGAA
Non-coding RNA from Coturnix japonica (Japanese quail), 7978 nucleotides. NCBI's taxonomy places the organism in Eukaryota, Metazoa, Chordata, Aves, Galliformes, Phasianidae. The record is from RefSeq and is a predicted model, not a curated record.